This 411-nucleotide ribosomal RNA is filed under the name Verrucomicrobiota bacterium. RNAcentral's name for it is "Verrucomicrobia bacterium partial 16S ribosomal RNA". It matches the Rfam family "Bacterial small subunit ribosomal RNA", at positions 355 to 776 of the family's 1533-position model. Lineage: Bacteria; Pseudomonadati; Verrucomicrobiota. The record is from RNAcentral.
UGGGGAAUAUUGCGCAAUGGGGGAAACCCUGACGCAGCGACGCCGCGUGCGGGAUGAAGGCCUUCGGGUUGUAAACCGCUUUUGAUUGGGAGCAAGCUUUCGGGUGAGUGUACCUUUCGAAUAAGCGCCGGCUAACUACGUGCCAGCAGCCGCGGUAAUACGUAGGGCGCAGGCGUUAUCCGGAAUUAUUGGGCGUAAAGAGCUUGUAGGCGGUUCGUCGCGUCUGGUGUGAAAGCCCAUCGCUUAACGGUGGGUUUGCGCCGGGUACGGGCGGGCUAGAGUGCAGUAGGGGAGACUGGAAUUCCCGGUGUAACGGUGGAAGGUGUAGAUAUCGGGAAGAAUACCAAUGGCGAAGGCAGGUCUCUGGGCUGUUACUGACGCUGAGAAGCGAAAGCGUGGGGAGCGAACAGG